RNAcentral lists this ribosomal RNA (503 nucleotides) under uncultured bacterium. Its description in RNAcentral is "bacterial SSU rRNA". It matches the Rfam family "Bacterial small subunit ribosomal RNA", at positions 791 to 1286 of the family's 1533-position model. The record is from RNAcentral.
UAGUCCACGCCGUAAACGAUGUCUACUAGCCGUAGGGUUCCUUGAGGACUUUGUGGCGCAGCUAACGCGCUAAGUAGACCGCCUGGGGAGUACGGCCGCAAGGUUAAAACUCAAAUGAAUUGACGGGGCCCGCACAAGCGGUGGAGCAUGUGGUUUAAUUCGAUGCAACGCGAAGAACCUUACCAGGACUUGACAUCCUUAUCGCGCGCACCAGAGAUGGAGCGUUUCAGUUCGGCUGGAUAAGUGACAGGUGCUGCACGGCUGUCGUCAGCUCGUGUCGUGAGAUGUUGGGUUAAGUCCCGCAACGAGCGCAACCCCUAUCCUUAGUUGCCAACACGUAAUGGUGGGAACUCUAAGGAAACCGCCGGCGUUAAGCCGGAGGAAGGUGGGGACGACGUCAAGUCAUCAUGGGCCCUUAUGUCCUGGGGCCACACACGUGCUACAAUGGCAGGGUACAGAGAGCAGCCACGUCGCAAGGGCGGGAGCGGAAUCUAUAAACCUGU